RNAcentral lists this transfer RNA (75 nucleotides) under Rhizobium leguminosarum. Its description in RNAcentral is "tRNA-OTHER". The record is from RNAcentral. Lineage: Bacteria; Pseudomonadati; Pseudomonadota; Alphaproteobacteria; Hyphomicrobiales; Rhizobiaceae.
AGCGAGGCGUUUACCGGCCCGGCAGCCGGCCAAUCGCCAGGCCGGUCGCAGGUUCAAAUCCUGCCCUCGCAACCA